AGCUCUACCUUAGUUUUUUUGUUAAGCUGAACAAGACCUCAAACUUAAGAGCUAUUCAAAUAAGGCACAGCUUAUUUGAAAUAGGAUACAACCUACAACAUAGGGUAACCGAGAGUAACUUAAAUAAAGUGGGCCUAAAAGCAGCCAUCUUUAAAAAAGCGUUAAAGCUUAACUACUCCUCACUCACAAUACCUAAAGCCCUCACUAACCCCUCAUUACUAUUGAACAGUUUUAUACUCAUAUAAAAGCUAUUAUGCUAGAACUAGUAACAAGAAAUUGCCUUUCUCCUAAAUGUAAGUAUACACCAAAAUAAACUCUGUUGGCUAUUAACGUGAAUGCUAAACUAUAGUAACGCCCGCUAGAAAACUCUAUAACUCUUAACGUUAACCUUACACCAGAACAUUCCAGGAAAGAUUAAAAGAAAAAGAAGGAACUCGGCAAAUCAUAGCCCCGCCUGUUUACCAAAAACAUCGCCUCUUGCAAAACAUAAGAGGUCCAGCCUGCCCAGUGACGAAGUUCAACGGCCGCGGUACCCUAACCGUGCGAAGGUAGCAUAAUCACUUGUUCUUUAAAUGAGGACUUGUAUCAACGGCACUACGAGGGCUAUACUGUCUCCUUUUUCCAAUCAGUGAAACUGAUCUCCCCGUGAAGAAGCGGGGAUCAAAAUAUAAGACGAGAAGACCCCAUGGAGCUUUAAACUCUCUGUACACUUCUGUGCCCCUACAUCAUUAGACAUAAGAAAUCUGUACACUAGUUUUAGGUUGGGGGGACCACGGAGUACAACUUAACCUCCUUAACAAAUGGGUUAAUACCCUUAUCCACGAGACACACCUCUAAGAAUUAUUAAACUAAUGCCUAUGACCCGAUAUUCGAUCAAUGAACCAAGUUACCCUGGGGAUAACAGCGCAAUCUACUUCAAGAGCCCAUAUCGACAAGUAGGUUUACGACCUCGAUGUUGGAUCAGGGUAUCCCGGUGGUGCAGCCGCUACCAAUGGUUCGUUUGUUCAACGAUUAAAACCCUACGUGAUCU
This 1030-nucleotide ribosomal RNA is filed under the name Rana hanluica. Its description in RNAcentral is "partial large subunit ribosomal RNA". It matches the Rfam family "Bacterial large subunit ribosomal RNA", at positions 873 to 2606 of the family's 2925-position model. Lineage: Eukaryota; Metazoa; Chordata; Amphibia; Anura; Ranidae. The record is from RNAcentral.